AAGAAAUAUUAAGGGAACAUCUAGUAUGUGCUAGAUAUUUUCCUAUUUUCUUUCUCAUCUAGCUGCAAGAUCAUAUGAUAACAUGAGACAGCAGAGAGGAGAAGACCCCUGUCUCACAGCCAGGAUUUGGGAUCCCAAGAAUGGAGCUUUUUUUCCACACUGUGCCUUGCUGGAAUCACCUCACGUCCCCACAUGCGAUGAGCUCAUCCUUCUCUUGGCACCACCUGCCUCUCAUCUUGGCCCUGGCUGGGACGCACCAACGUUUCUGCAGGAGGAAUAAAGCAAUAACAGGAAUCUCA
Homo sapiens (human) is the source of this 299-nucleotide long non-coding RNA. RefSeq lists it as uncharacterized. The record is from RefSeq and is a predicted model, not a curated record. Lineage: Eukaryota; Metazoa; Chordata; Mammalia; Primates; Hominidae. The transcript has 2 exons.